GAUGAAGAACGUAGCGAAAUGCGAUAAGUAGUGUGAAUUGCAGAUUUCAGUGAAUCAUCGAAUCUUUGAACGCACAUUGCGCCCGCCAGUAUUCUGGCGGGCAUGCCUGUUCGAGCGUCAUUUCAACCAUCAAGCCCCAGGCUUGUGUUGGGGACCUGCGGCUGCCGCAGGCCCUGAAAACCAGUGGCGGGCUCGCUAGUCACACCGAGCGUAGUAGCAUACACAUCGCUCAGGGCGUGCUGCGGGUUCCGGCCGUUAAACCCCUUUUUUACCCAAGGUUGACCUCGGAUCAGGUAGGAAGACCCGCUGAACUUAAGCAUAUCAAUAAGCGGAGGA
RNAcentral lists this unclassified non-coding RNA (336 nucleotides) under soil metagenome. Its description in RNAcentral is "partial contains 5.8S ribosomal RNA, internal transcribed spacer 2, and large subunit ribosomal RNA". The stretch from base 1 to 120 matches the Rfam family "5.8S ribosomal RNA", at positions 35 to 154 of the family's 154-position model. The record is from RNAcentral.